RNAcentral lists this long non-coding RNA (1246 nucleotides) under Phoenix dactylifera (date palm). Its description in RNAcentral is "long non-coding RNA (PDAC_LNC007474)". Lineage: Eukaryota; Viridiplantae; Streptophyta; Magnoliopsida; Arecales; Arecaceae. The record is from RNAcentral.
CCCGAACCCAGCACCCGGGUCCGGUACGCGACCGGCCGCAUGAGCCCUAGAGCAGUGCCCUAAAGAUCAUGCAAGGCCUAUGAUUAACAAAAAUUCCAAUAAAUCCACAAGAAAUUGAUAAUUCAAAUAGACAAAUUCGACAUGUCCAAAUAGACAAAUUAGUUCAAUUACAAGAUCUUCAAAUGUUUAUCGACAUCAAAGAAGGAUAAACAAACUAACUAACUAAUGACUCUGGUACUCGCACUCUGCGCCCAUCCCAUCCAAAUCUAUGCAUCCUGCAACUCUGAUAAAAAAAAAGAAGAAGAGGGGGUGAGCUUUACAGCCCAGUAAGAAUCCCUACACAUCCAUACCUACACAAUAAUAAUAUAAAUUCGAAACCACGACAAAUCGAUGCACAUUUUAUGAAAUCAUAAACAGUUUCUAAAAGACUCAAAUAAUCAAUAUAAUUAUGUACAUCAAGCAUCAAUGAAAGUCCAUAUUAUACAUCAAACGUCAAUGAAAGUCCAGCCACAUAAGAAUGAUAUAGUAUAUAAUAGCCUAUAAAUCACUACGACUGUUUUCAAUGCUUUUUCUUUUCAUUCCAUGUUAACUUGAUCCGGAUCAAUUAUCUUUCCGACUUUGGGCUACAUCCCGGUCACGUUUCCGGCCCGUGACGGGGCAAUCGAUAGUAUCACAUUUUCGGCCUGUGAUGGAGCAAUCGAUAGUAUCACAUUUCCAGCCUGUGACGGGGCAAUCAAUAAUAUCACAUUUUCAGCCUGUGACGGGGCAAUCGAUAAUAUCACAUUUCCAGUCUGUGAUGGGGCAAUCAAUAAUAACGAGAUAAGCCCAAAGUUCCUGUUCAUUUAAUCAAUUCAUAAACACACAUCCAUUCCCUUUUCCACUUUAUUUCCGACCUAGACUAACCAUGGUCACGUUUUCAGCCCGUGACAGGGCAAUCAAUAUAACAUGGUUAGUCCAUACUACCACAUCCAUAAAUCCAAUUAUGCAGAUAUAGGUUAUACACAUACAUGCAUCCAUCAUAAUACCAAUCACAAGCCAACACGAUCAAAAUAUAAUUUAAUAUAAACUAUUUUUGCUUUGUCGGAAUCAUAGCAUAUCAAUAUAUAUGGUGCAAAAAUAUUUAUAUCAUGCAGGAUUAGCGUACAAGGAUUCUUACCCUUUAUUGAAAACUCAGACAACUAAUCACCCGCCCUCACGGCGAUCUAUGAACCGGAAUGCGCAGGACUCUGCUCAGCGUCCUCUCGUC